Molecule: ribosomal RNA, 451 nt
Filed under: uncultured organism
Description: partial 16S ribosomal RNA
Rfam family: Bacterial small subunit ribosomal RNA
Source: RNAcentral
ACACUCCUGCGGGAGGCAGCAGUGGGGAAUUUUACGCAAUGGGGGAAACCCUGACGUAGCGACACCGCGUGAGCGAAGAAGCCAUUUGGGGUGUAAAGCUCUGUCAGCUGGAACGAAAACAAUGACGGUACCAGCAGAGGAAGCAUCGGCUAACUACGUGCCAGCAGCCGCGGUAAGACGUAGGAUGCGAGCGUUGUCCGGAUUUAUUGGGCGUAAAGAGUUCGUAGGUGGUUUGUUAAGUUUGGUGUUAAAGAUCGGGGCUCAACCCUGGGACUGCACUGAAUACUGGCAGACUCGAGUGUGGUAGAGGCUAGUGGAAUUCCCAGUGUAGCGGUGAAAUGCGUAGAUAUUGGGAAGAACACCGGUGGCGUAGGCGACUAGCUGGGCCAUAACUGACGCUGAGGAACGAAAGCCAGGGGAACGAAUGGGAUUAGAAACCCCUGUAGUCCCA